CGUUUUUUGAUUAUAAUUUAAGAUUUAUUCUGCUCAAUGAAAAUUUAAAUAGCCGCAGUAUUUUAACUGUGCAAAGGUAGCAUAAUAAUUUGUUUAUUAAUUGUAAACUGGAAUGAAAGAAUAGAUAAAAUAUUUACUUUAUUAAUAUUAUAAAUAUAAAGUUAAUUUUUUAGUAAAAAAGCUAAAAUUUUUUAUUGGGACGAGAAGACCCUAUAGAAUUUUAUAUUAUAAUGAAUAUUUUAAAUUAAUAUAUUUUUAUAUAUUUAUUAUAUUAAUUUAUUGGGAGGAUAAUUAAAUUUUUAAACUUUAAUAUAAUUAACCAAAGAUAAAUGAAGAUUGGAUUUUAUAUAUAAAAUUUUAGAAAAAUUACCUUAGGGAUAACAGUGUAAUAUUUUUAGAAAGUUCUUAUUGAUAAAAAUGUUUAUAACCUCGAUGUUGAAUUUAGAUUAAUUUAAAUAGAAGUUUGUUUAAAUUUUAGUCUGUUCGACUAUUAAAAUCUAACAU
Molecule: ribosomal RNA, 504 nt
Filed under: Sclerodermus guani
Lineage: Eukaryota; Metazoa; Arthropoda; Insecta; Hymenoptera; Bethylidae
Also listed under: 3 other names
Description: partial 16S ribosomal RNA
Source: RNAcentral